This 664-nucleotide ribosomal RNA is filed under the name Bacillus mycoides. Its description in RNAcentral is "bacterial SSU rRNA". It matches the Rfam family "Bacterial small subunit ribosomal RNA", at positions 152 to 802 of the family's 1533-position model. Lineage: Bacteria; Bacillati; Bacillota; Bacilli; Caryophanales; Bacillaceae. The record is from RNAcentral.
GGAAACCGGGGCUAAUACCGGAUAACAUUUUGAACCGCAUGGUUCGAAAUUGAAAGGCGGCUUCGGCUGUCACUUAUGGAUGGACCCGCGUCGCAUUAGCUAGUUGGUGAGGUAACGGCUCACCAAGGCAACGAUGCGUACCCGACCUGAGAGGGUGAUCGGCCACACUGGGACUGAGACACGGCCCAGACUCCUACGGGAGGCAGCAGUAGGGAAUCUUCCGCAAUGGACGAAAGUCUGACGGAGCAACGCCGCGUGAGUGAUGAAGGCUUUCGGGUCGUAAAACUCUGUUGUUAGGGAAGAACAAGUGCUAGUUGAAUAAGCUGGCACCUUGACGGUACCUAACCAGAAAGCCACGGCUAACUACGUGCCAGCAGCCGCGGUAAUACGUAGGUGGCAAGCGUUAUCCGGAAUUAUUGGGCGUAAAGCGCGCGCAGGUGGUUUCUUAAGUCUGAUGUGAAAGCCCACGGCUCAACCGUGGAGGGUCAUUGGAAACUGGGAGACUUGAGUGCAGAAGAGGAAAGUGGAAUUCCAUGUGUAGCGGUGAAAUGCGUAGAGAUAUGGAGGAACACCAGUGGCGAAGGCGACUUUCUGGUCUGUAACUGACACUGAGGCGCGAAAGCGUGGGGAGCAACAGGAUUAGAUACCCUGGUAGUCCACGCCG